Molecule: transfer RNA, 90 nt
Filed under: Felis catus (domestic cat)
Lineage: Eukaryota; Metazoa; Chordata; Mammalia; Carnivora; Felidae
Also listed under: 1 other name
Rfam family: tRNA
About the family: Transfer RNA (tRNA) molecules are approximately 80 nucleotides in length. Their secondary structure includes four short double-helical elements and three loops (D, anti-codon, and T loops). Further hydrogen bonds mediate the characteristic L-shaped molecular structure. tRNAs have two regions of fundamental functional importance: the anti-codon, which is responsible for specific mRNA codon recognition, and the 3' end, to which the tRNAs corresponding amino acid is attached (by aminoacyl-tRNA synthetases). tRNAs cope with the degeneracy of the genetic code in two manners: having more than one tRNA (with a specific anti-codon) for a particular amino acid; and 'wobble' base-pairing, i.e. permitting non-standard base-pairing at the 3rd anti-codon position.
Source: Rfam by way of RNAcentral
GCCUGGGUGGCUCAGUCGGUUGAGCGUCUGACUUCAGCUCAGGUCAUGAUCUCGUGGUCCGGUCCGUGAGUUCGAGCCCCGCGUCGGGCU